CUUCCCUGCUAACUUCUGCAAUACACUUCCUCAAACAUACCUCUAUCUACAUCAAAGAAAGGUACACCGAAAUACUUUACAAAAACCAAAACACCUGUUUGAUCUUAAAUCUAACUUACAAAGUAUAGACCAAAGUUACAUGGACCCAUGGCAAGGCACAUGUCCUAUCUUUCUGGUUGUGAAACACACAUUCUUUAGCGUCAUCCUGUGUCACAUAUCACUCAUAAGCUUACAUACUGGCUUCCUUUUUGUAGACACAGUAAGCUCCCUGAGGAUAGUCAUCAACCCUCAUUUUGAUCUCAACAUUGUUACUCAAUACAUAGUUGUUGAAUGAAAGAAGGAAUGAAGCUCCUCAGAGGUGGCACUACGACUACUUCUUUGAUUUCUUGAAUUCUUAGAAGUCUAAACAUUUCCUCCCCCCCCCCCAGCAAAUUUGGUCUGACUUAUAACUGUAACUGGUUUCAACUGAGAGAAGUUCAAAAGUUUUCUUCAGCAUCUAUCACUUUUUGCAACCAGUAAACUACAGGUAAGUAAGAAACAAUUAUUCACUAUCCAUGGGUAUAAAUGUAAGGUACUUCCUGUAUAAAAUCAAUGGCUGGUAUGUGAGACAUAUGCAACUACUUCUCUUCUGAUACAAAUUACAUAGCAAAUGUAUGAAAGAAAAAACAUUUUUUUUUCCCCACUUGCAGAUAAGGUAACAUUCAAACUGCUGGAAACUUUCCUAAAAUGGCAAUUUGCAAAAAUCAGUGUUGCUUUAAGAAUCUUUUAUGUUUGGUGUAUUGCACCAAAGUAAGAGACUCUUGUGGGGUUGGGGGUGUUUAAGUUCCUGGAAUAUGAUGGCAGAGGAGGACCUACCUAGUAGGGGUCUAAUUGUUAUGUGGAAAACUGGGAAAUGUUAUACAUGUACAAACUAUUGUAUUUUACUGUCGACUAUAAACCAAUAAUCCCCCAAUAUAGAAAUUUAAAAAUAAAGAUUUUUUAUAUUUUUAUUAUUCAUUUUUCAUAGGGAAAAGGUGAUUAUGCUUAUACCAGUUUGAGAAAUAACAGUUUAAGGGGAAAAUGUAUACUAACAUGAUGGAGUGGAAAAUACAAAAGAGAACAAAGCAUGAGACCUGAGGUUUUCUAGCUCUGGUUAUACUACAACAUAGUUGUGUGAUUUAAGGAUGCCAUCGCAUCAUUGGUUCAGUAUACCCACUUGCUAAAAAAAAAAAAAAAAAAAAAAAAAAAAAAGGAAUCUCUUGAUUUCUGAUUUUAGAUCACGCCCUCUCAUUUCAUCCUGCUCCCUAAACUGAAAAUAGGUUUUUUGAAGGUUCAACUUUCCUAAACUAUGAAACACUUUCACACUGCAUUUAACUAGCCCUUCUUCAACUGGAUAGUA
Molecule: long non-coding RNA, 1378 nt
Organism: Erinaceus europaeus (western European hedgehog)
Lineage: Eukaryota; Metazoa; Chordata; Mammalia; Eulipotyphla; Erinaceidae
Exons: 3
Source: RefSeq, a predicted model, not a curated record